UGAGGAAUAUUGGACAAUGGGCGCAAGCCUGAUCCAGCAAUGCCGCGUGCAGGAUGAAGGCCUUCGGGUUGUAAACUGCUUUUGUACGGAGCGAAAAGGUCUGCCCUAAUACGGUGGGCUCAUGACGGUACCGUAAGAAUAAGCACCGGCUAACUACGUGCCAGCAGCCGCGGUAAUACGUAGGGUGCGAGCGUUAAUCGGAAUUACUGGGCGUAAAGCGUGCGCAGGCGGUUAUAUAAGACAGAUGUGAAAUCCCCGGGCUCAACCUGGGACCUGCAUUUGUGACUGUAUAGCUAGAGUACGGUAGAGGGGAUGGAAUUCCGCGUGUAGCAGUGAAAUGCGUAGAUAUGCGGAGGAACACCGAUGGCGAAGGCAAUCCCCUGGACCUGUACUGACGCUCAUGCACGAAAGCGUGGGGAGCAAACA
This 426-nucleotide ribosomal RNA is filed under the name uncultured bacterium. Its description in RNAcentral is "bacterial SSU rRNA". It matches the Rfam family "Bacterial small subunit ribosomal RNA", at positions 355 to 774 of the family's 1533-position model. The record is from RNAcentral.